RNAcentral lists this long non-coding RNA (793 nucleotides) under Bos taurus (domestic cattle). RNAcentral's name for it is "long non-coding RNA NONBTAT026371". The record is from RNAcentral. Lineage: Eukaryota; Metazoa; Chordata; Mammalia; Artiodactyla; Bovidae.
AAUUACUUGUCCCUCUAACAUUGCUGAGUAUGUCCCAAUUGGAGCCAAACACUGCCAUUUGUCCAGUUGCUUAUCUUAAUCUGCCAGUCUCCCUCAGCUGAGGGCAUGGCAUGUAAUUUACUGCACUCUGCCCACUACAGCACUCUACAGCCUGCAGUGAGAGCCUUGGCUAUUGGAUAGGUCCAGACUAAGGUGGAUUGUUGACUUGUCCAGAUCAGAUGAUUCUGACUCACUAGGGAGCUAGCCUGGGUCUCCAGUGGUCCUGCCUGCCACCUCUCCUGCCCACAACAGGGCCCACUAGGCAUAAGUACUGAUAACAAAGGCAGGAGCCAGUGCUAACCUCUGAAGAUGGCCUCAAACCCCUUUAUUGGCUUAGAGGUUAGUGUGGACGAUUGAGGCUUACUGCUGUCUACCAUGUAUUGCCAAAACAGAUGGAACCAGUUAGGUCAGCCUGGCACCAAGAUGACGAAUACCUGCCAGGUCUAGACCCUCAGGAAAAUAGUACCGUCUUUGGUAUAUCUCUCCUCCAGAAAGCCCUUUUAAGCCCUUUGAACCUGUUGUAGCCAGUUGGACAUGGCUUAGCUUGGACUCAUUACUGCUUACAAACUCUUUAGUAAAAGGAUCAAGUAUUUGUUUUAAUUUAUACUAAGAAGGGACAUAUGCAACAAAAUGAGAUCAAAUGUCUAUUUUUUUUUUAAAGAUUAGAAAGAUAUGAAAGUCAUCUCCUAGCCAAGGCAACUCAUCAAAUACUGGAUGGAGUGAGAAAUUUGGGCUUGGUGGUAGUUGAGGCUUG